RNAcentral lists this long non-coding RNA (792 nucleotides) under Pan troglodytes (chimpanzee). Its description in RNAcentral is "long non-coding RNA NONPTRT005369". The record is from RNAcentral. Lineage: Eukaryota; Metazoa; Chordata; Mammalia; Primates; Hominidae.
CAGGAGCCACAGAGCCAAAAGCAGACAGCCGAGAUACAGGCGAACAGUGUAGAGAGCUAGUGUGAGAAAGCUGUUGAUGAGAGCUGCUGCUGAAUAAAAUCAUUUUUCACCUGCCUACGGCCCCCCGAGUGUUCUUUCUGCUCACCUACCCACUCCCUCCAGACCUCAACAUGACCUUUGGCGUAGUCAUGUACCUGACAAUUGCGACGUUGGCAGGAUGAAGUGAGUAGGUCUUUGGCCCCUGAGGGCUCCUGGGUCAGCUAUGUGGCUGCAGCACGGGCUGUACCCAGGGGCAGCGGUGCUGCUUGGAUGAGCCCCAAUGGAAACGCGGGAGGCAGUGGAGAGGUCUCCUGCAAGUGUGCGAGCACACAGCACCAAGAAGGAAUACACCUUUGCUGGCAGCGUCGGAUGGGCGUUUCUGACAGCACUGCAGGAAGUACAUGCUCAGUUCCACAGGUGCUCUGGGAGACGGAUAUGCGAUAUGCAGCAGGCUGUUUGAUCGGAAUAUCUGGGGCCAGAUGAUGAACGCUUUACCUCCCCCAUGAGGGAUCUUGUGCUGAGUUCAGCACCCCCGGAUGCCUUGGCUCUCCAGCUGCUGUUCUCACCCCGUAUGUAGGACACCGCAUACACAAAGUGACUAUUGCUAUGGCAGCCCUUGGGGAGGCAGAAGGCCAUUGGCGGGACCUGGGAGUCCACGCCAUAAAGAAAUGGAAGGUGCACCCUUCACAAGUAACCAUCCACGAGAUUAAAAGGGGCCCAAGCGGGUGACCCACAUGUGGAUGUGGAUUGAUU